GACGAACGCUGGCGGCGUGCUUAACACAUGCAAGUCGAACGGAAAGGCCCUGCUUGCAGGGUGCUCGAGUGGCGAACGGGUGAGUAACACGUGGGUGAUCUGCCCCUUACUUUGGGAUAAGCCUGGGAAACUGGGUCUAAUACUGGAUAGGACCAUGCUGUAGGUGGUGUGGUGGAAAGAUUAGUUUCGGUAGGGGAUGAGCUCGCGGCCUAUCAGCUUGUUGGUGGGGUAAUGGCCUACCAAGGCGUCGACGGGUAGCCGGCCUGAGAGGGUGGACGGCCGCAUUGGGACUGAGAUACGGCCCAGACUCCUACGGGAGGCAGCAGUGGGGAAUAUUGCACAAUGGGCGCAAGCCUGAUGCAGCGACGCCGCGUGGGGGAUGACGGCCUUCGGGUUGUAAACUCCUUUCAGCCAUGACGAAGCCCUUGUGGUGACGGUAGUGGUAGAGGAAGCACCGGCUAACUACGUG
RNAcentral lists this ribosomal RNA (469 nucleotides) under uncultured bacterium. RNAcentral's name for it is "partial 16S ribosomal RNA". It matches the Rfam family "Bacterial small subunit ribosomal RNA", at positions 28 to 507 of the family's 1533-position model. The record is from RNAcentral.